Molecule: non-coding RNA, 390 nt
Filed under: Agrilus planipennis (emerald ash borer)
Lineage: Eukaryota; Metazoa; Arthropoda; Insecta; Coleoptera; Buprestidae
Description: Eukaryotic small subunit ribosomal RNA
Rfam family: Eukaryotic small subunit ribosomal RNA
Source: Rfam by way of RNAcentral
UUGACCCUUAGAUCAUGCCGCUGAAUCUAAAACUAAACUAACCCAACUCAAAUAGCACCAUGUAACUGGUACACUUGUUCAGUAUUUAUGAAUAAAACGUAAACUUUUACUGGUAUUCAAAUGUCUGCCUUAUCAACUGUCGAUGGUAGGUUCUACGUCUAUCAUGAUUGUAACGGGGUAACAGUUAAUCAGGGUUCGAUUCUGGAGAGGGAGCCAUCAGAGAAACGUCUACUACAUCCAGGGAAGGCAGCAGGCGUGCAUUUGAUCCACAUGGGGAAGUUUAUAGUAAGGAAAAAUAACAAUAGAGGACAAUCCGAGACACCGAAAUCGGAAUGAGUAAAGUCUAAAUCCUUUAACAAAGAUCAAUUAGAGGACUAUACGUCUCGAAAA